RNAcentral lists this ribosomal RNA (413 nucleotides) under uncultured bacterium. RNAcentral's name for it is "bacterial SSU rRNA". It matches the Rfam family "Bacterial small subunit ribosomal RNA", at positions 355 to 760 of the family's 1533-position model. The record is from RNAcentral.
UGGGGAAUAUUGGACAAUGGGCGCAAGCCUGAUCCAGCCAUGCCGCGUGUGUGAAGAAGGCCUUCGGGUUGUAAAGCACUUUUGUCCGGAAAGAAAAGCUUUGGGUUAAUACCCCGAAGCCAUGACGGUACCGGAAGAAUAAGCACCGGCUAACUUCGUGCCAGCAGCCGCGGUAAUACGAAGGGUGCAAGCGUUACUCGGAAUUACUGGGCGUAAAGCGUGCGUAGGUGGUUCGUUAAGUCUGAUGUGAAAGCCCUAGGCUCAACCUGGGAAUUGCAUUGGAUACUGGCGAGCUAGAGUGCGGUAGAGGAUGGUGGAAUUCCCGGUGUAGCAGUGAAAUGCGUAGAGAUCGGGAGGAACAUCUGUGGCGAAGGCGACCAUCUGGGCCAGCACUGACACUGAGGCACGAAAAG